Molecule: ribosomal RNA, 460 nt
Filed under: uncultured bacterium
Lineage: Bacteria
Description: partial 16S ribosomal RNA
Rfam family: Bacterial small subunit ribosomal RNA
Source: RNAcentral
CCUACGGGAGGCAGCAGUGAGGAAUAUUGGUCAAUGGACGCAAGUCUGAACCAGCCAUGCCGCGUGCAGGAAGACGGCUCUAUGAGUUGUAAACUGCUUUUGUACGAGGGUAAACGCAGAUACGUGUAUCUGUCUGAAAGUAUCGUACGAAUAAGGAUCGGCUAACUCCGUGCCCGCAGCCGCGGUAAUACGGAGGAUUCAAGCGUUAUCCGGAUUUAUUGGGUUUAAAGGGUGCGUAGGCGGUGUGAUAAGUUAGAGGUGAAAUCCCGAGGCUCAACUUCGGAAUUGCCGUUGAUACUGUCCGGCUAGAGAGUAGUAGCGGUAGGCGGAAUGUAUGGUGUAGCGGUGAAAUGCUUAGAGAUCAUACAGAACACCGAUUGCGAAGGCAGCUUACCAAGCUACUUCUGACGUUGAGGCACGAAAGCGUGGGGAGCAAACAGGAUUAGAUACCCGAGUAGUC